This 253-nucleotide ribosomal RNA is filed under the name uncultured bacterium. RNAcentral describes it as "partial 16S ribosomal RNA". It matches the Rfam family "Bacterial small subunit ribosomal RNA", at positions 524 to 776 of the family's 1533-position model. The record is from RNAcentral.
UACGUAGGGGGCGAGCGUUGUCCGGAUUUAUUGGGCGUAAAGCGCAUGCAGGCGGUCCUGUAAGUUUGGAGUGACAGUUUCCGGCUCAACCGGGGAAGUGCUUUGAAAACUGCGGGACUUGAGGGCUUCAGAGGGACACGGAAUUCCGGGUGGAGUGGUGAAAUGCGUAGAUAUCCGGAGGAACACCGAAGGCGAAGGCAGUGUCCUGGGGAGCACCUGACGCUCAGAUGCGAAAGCCAGGGGAGCGAACGGG